AACGAACGCUGGCGGCAGGCCUAACACAUGCAAGUCGAGCGAGAUCUUCGGGUCUAGCGGCGGACGGGUGAGUAACGCGUGGGGAUAUGCCUCUUGGUACGGAAUAGCCUCGGGGAACUGGGAGGAAUACGGUAUGUGCUCUCUGGGGGGAAGAUUUAACGCCAAGAGAUUAGCCGGCGUUGGAUUAGGUUGUUGGUGGGGUAAUGGGCUACCACGCCGACGAUCCAUAGCUGGGUUGAGAGGAUGGUCAGCGACACUGGGACUGAGACACGGUCCAGACUCUUACGGGAUGCAGCAGUGGGUAAUCUUAGACAAUGGGGGCAACGCUGAUCUAGCCAUGCCGGGUGAGUGAUGAAGGCCUUAGGGUUGUAAAGCUCUUUCAGCUGGGAAGAUAAUGACGGUACCAGCAGAAGAAGCCCCGGCUAACUCCGUG
This 433-nucleotide ribosomal RNA is filed under the name uncultured bacterium. RNAcentral's name for it is "partial 16S ribosomal RNA". It matches the Rfam family "Bacterial small subunit ribosomal RNA", at positions 29 to 507 of the family's 1533-position model. The record is from RNAcentral.